GCAUAUCGAUGAGCGGGACGAAAAGAAACCAACAGGGAUUGCCCUAGUAACGGCGAGGGAAGCGGCAACAGCUCAAAUUUGAAAUCUGGCGCAAGCCCGAGUUGUAAUUUGUAGAGGAUGCUUCUGGGUAGCGGCCGGUCUAAGUUCCUUGGAACAGGACGUCAUAGAGGGUGAGAAUCCCGUAUGUGACUGGCUUGCACCCUCCACGUAGCUCCUUCGACGAGUCGAGUUGUUUGGGAAUGCAGCUCUAAAUGGGAGGUAAAUUUCUUCUAAAGCUAAAUACCGGCCAGAGACCGAUAGCGCACAAGUAGAGUGAUCGAAAGAUGAAAAGCACUUUGGAAAGAGAGUUAAAAAGCACGUGAAAUUGUUGAAAGGGAAGCGCCCGCAACCAGACUUUGCGGCGGUGUUCGGCUGGUCUUCUGACCGGUUUACUCGCCGCCGUGAGGCCAUCAUCGUCUGGGACCGCUGGAUAAGACCUGAGGAAUGUAGCUCCCUUCGGGGUGUGUUAUAGCCUUUGGUGAUGCAGCGCGUCUCGGGCGAGGUCCGCGCUUCGGCAAGGAUGAUGGCGUAAUGGUUGUCGGCGGCCCGUCUUGAAACACGGACCAAGGAGUCUAACAUCUAUGCGAGUGUUCGGGUGUCAAACCCCUACGCGUAAUGAAAGUGAACGGAGGUGGGAACUUUUUGUGCACCAUCGACCGAUCCUGAUGUCCUCGGAUGGAUUUGAGUAAGAGCAUAGCUGUUGGGACCCGAAAGAUGGUGAACUAUGCCUGAAUAGGGUGAAGCCAGAGGAAACUCUGGUGGAGGCUCGCAGCGGUUCUGACGUGCAAAUCGAUCGUCAAAUUUGGGUAUAGGGGCGAAAGACUAAUCGAACCAUCUAGUAGCUGGUUCCUGCCGAAG
Molecule: ribosomal RNA, 897 nt
Filed under: Pseudocercospora tereticornis
Lineage: Eukaryota; Fungi; Ascomycota; Dothideomycetes; Mycosphaerellales; Mycosphaerellaceae
Description: LSU rRNA
Rfam family: Eukaryotic large subunit ribosomal RNA
Source: RNAcentral